RNAcentral lists this ribosomal RNA (253 nucleotides) under uncultured bacterium. Its description in RNAcentral is "partial 16S ribosomal RNA". It matches the Rfam family "Bacterial small subunit ribosomal RNA", at positions 524 to 776 of the family's 1533-position model. The record is from RNAcentral.
UACGAAGGAUGCGAGCGUUAUCCGGAUUUAUUGGGUUUAAAGGGUGCGUAGGCGGCCUUAUAAGUCAGUGGUGAAAUCCUAUCGCUUAACGAUAGACGUGCCAUUGAUACUGUAGGGCUUGAGUACAGAUGCCGUUGGCGGAAUGUGUCAUGUAGCGGUGAAAUGCAUAGAUAUGACACAGAACACCGAUUGCGAAGGCAGCUCGCUAAAUUGUAACUGACGCUGAGGCACGAAAGCGUGGGGAUCAAACAGG